AUCCAACUAACGAGUUCCAAAUAGAACGAAAGGCGCGUCCCGGAU
Molecule: non-coding RNA, 45 nt
Filed under: Schistosoma margrebowiei
Lineage: Eukaryota; Metazoa; Platyhelminthes; Trematoda; Strigeidida; Schistosomatidae
Source: RNAcentral